GUGGGGAAUAUUGGACAAUGGGCGAAAGCCUGAUCCAGCCAUGCCGCGUGUGUGAAGAAGGUCUUCGGAUUGUAAAGCACUUUAAGUUGGGAGGAAGGGCAGUAAGUUAAUACCUUGCUGUUUUGACGUUACCGACAGAAUAAGCACCGGCUAACUUCGUGCCAGCAGCCGCGGUAAUACGAAGGGUGCAAGCGUUAAUCGGAAUUACUGGGCGUAAAGCGCGCGUAGGUGGUUUUGUAAGUUGGAGGUGAAAUCCCCGGGCUCAACCUGGGAACUGCCUCCAAAACUGCAUGACUAGAGUACGGUAGAGGGUAGUGGAAUUUCCUGUGUAGCGGUGAAAUGCGUAGAUAUAGGAAGGAACACCAGUGGCGAAGGCGACUACCUGGACUGAUACUGACACUGAGGUGCGAAAGCGUGGGGAGCAAACAGGAUUAGAAACCCGGGUAUCC
RNAcentral lists this ribosomal RNA (449 nucleotides) under uncultured bacterium. Its description in RNAcentral is "bacterial SSU rRNA". It matches the Rfam family "Bacterial small subunit ribosomal RNA", at positions 354 to 795 of the family's 1533-position model. The record is from RNAcentral.